This 497-nucleotide ribosomal RNA is filed under the name uncultured bacterium. RNAcentral's name for it is "partial 16S ribosomal RNA". It matches the Rfam family "Bacterial small subunit ribosomal RNA", at positions 28 to 507 of the family's 1533-position model. The record is from RNAcentral.
GACGAACGCUGGCGGCGUGCCUAAUACAUGCAAGUAGAACGCUGAAGAGAGGAGCUUGCUCUUCUUGGAUGAGUUGCGAACGGGUGAGUAACGCGUAGGUAACCUGCCUGGUAGCGGGGGAUAACUAUUGGAAACGAUAGCUAAUACCGCAUAAAAUUGAUUAUUGCAUGAUAAUUAAUUGAAAGAUGCAACCGCAUCACUACCAGAUGGACCUGCGUUGUAUUAGCUAGUUGGUGAGGUAACGGCUCACCAAGGCGACGAUACAUAGCCGACCUGAGAGGGUGAUCGGCCACACUGGGACUGAGACACGGCCCAGACUCCUACGGGAGGCAGCAGUAGGGAAUCUUCGGCAAUGGGGGGAACCCUGACCGAGCAACGCCGCGUGAGUGAAGAAGGUUUUCGGAUCGUAAAGCUCUGUUGUAAGAGAAGAACGGGUGUGAGAGUGGAAAGUUCACACUGUGACGGUAUCUUACCAGAAAGGGACGGCUAACUACGUG